CCCAUGAAUAGGGUUUAAGAAACAUACUAUGAACAUUGUUUUUCAUUUUUGAAAAGGUUUGGCAGAAAUCCAUCCGCAAACCGUUCUAGCUUACGGGUACGGAGGGUGAUCAGCCCCGUUGUACCCUGUAUUGAUCAAUAAUAUAUAACUCUGAACGAAAUUCAUCGUUUUAUUCUGUCCGCCUCGGGCGCAAAAAUUUUCCCAUAUAGGGAUGUUCAUACAUGCCUGGUUCCAAACCCGAAGGUUUUUAAUCUUGCUCAACAAUAAUAUGUAAUUCAACAUAUAUAUAUAUACGGGUAAUUGACAAAAGUGUAUCAACAUGUGAAUAAAUGUCAUGAUUAUCCAAGUGGGGACA
Molecule: long non-coding RNA, 355 nt
Filed under: Panax ginseng (ginseng)
Lineage: Eukaryota; Viridiplantae; Streptophyta; Magnoliopsida; Apiales; Araliaceae
Description: long non-coding RNA (PGIN_LNC001142)
Source: RNAcentral